UAGAGCCAAAUGGCGCAAGGUUGGCAUAUCAUCAUCUGAUGAAAGUGCAGCACUGCCGCUGUUUCCACACUAAGAAUACUCAUAACCUAUCCCAACCUGAGUGGAUAUAUAAAUUCAGAGGGAAAAAUCACAAACUAUACUAUACCGAUACAGCUAGAUAUCAAGAUUCUCAGGACACGAUGUCUAAACUAAAUUACCCAACAGACAGUUUGAAUCAUGAAUAGAAUAUAGUUAACAUAACCCCCCAUGCAAACGGUCAUCAUGUAUCAGCUAGUAAGAAAGGAGGGAACAAAUCUUGAUUAACAGAACAAUGGAGCACCAUCUUUAGAGAUUGUACAAACUGUAAAACAAAACAAAAAAAGAAAUCGGUCAGAGUAAAAAAACAUGACUGGAUAUAUAUACAGCUGGAUAUCAAGAUUCUCUGGAGAAAUGCUUAAACUAAAAUACUAAUAAAAAACGAAUCAUGGGCCAUUCAAAAACAACUUCAUAUAGAUAUAUACCCAACAAAGAGUUUGAAUCAUGAAUAUGCAACACACAUCGCUGACAUGACCCACCAUGCAAACGAUCAUCAUAAAUAUCUUUGGAACCCACAACUCAACAUAAAGAUGACAAAGACAAACAUGUAUACCAAAUAGCAUCUGAAAACAUAUCAGGGAAGAUAAUUUUCUGGCAGAACCAAGCAUGCGUAUGCAACUAUCUAAAUAUAUGUGUUAAACAGCCACUGGAAACAUUGCUAUAGAACAGACCGGAUAAAGCAAUUUCCACACAGAACAAUGCAUGCAUGUUUGCACAACCAAUCAAACACAUGUAUAGAAUAGAUACUGACAAACAAUUAGUCUAGAAAGACUAACUAUGCCGGAGCAAGUUGAUCAUGAAACUCCGUACCAAGACAUCUCCAGAUUUUUCCGGAAAUGAGAGUUCAGUAAGCUACUACCUUCAGCCUCCUAACUGAUUUGAGAGCAGCAUUUAUUAGAUUUUAGAAACCUAAAAGAAACAUUAGGCACAUUUGAAUAAACAUUCAAGAGAAGGGAACUGCAAAACGAAAUUCAGUAAACAGAAACGCCGCUAUAGCUCAUGACUAAAUUGACUCUCUUUCAGAAAAAAGUAGGAAAGUGUAACCACCUUAGUAAAAAAAAAUAGAAUGAGCAUGCUACCAUGCCCUUGCGCAGGUUCAAGCUACAUUCAAAGAAGGGACGUCUAUUGAACAAAAACUGGGUCGACAGUAUUUUGCAAUAGCUAACUAUGCAACUUUUCUCCACAAAUAUGAGAUAAUUUAAAUGGCAAGAUCAUGUUUGUUUUCCCCUUAUUUUCAGUUGGAUUGUAAUAACUCAGCAGCAAAGAGUACACCGCCGUGGUUUAGUCUACCAAUCUGAUUCAAUUCAAGAAUGGGUAGCCUAUUCUCUUGUAUAUGUCAGCAAGCUCUUUUUUGUACUCAAGUCAAAACUAAGCAUAAAUACCUACUCACCUACAUAAGUUGCUGUUGCACAUGCCCAUGUAUUUGGUGCAAGUUGAGGCCUCCUUUAAGUAACAUUAUGACCACUCUUCAUACCUACAAACACCAUCAAAGUAUGAAGUCAAAGCGAGGUGGAACCGUGUAAGGACUAAAGAAAGGGAAAGUGUCCGAUUCAUAAGCAAAGAGAGCAAGAGACCGAACUUUCAGAACAUUUAGGUUUAUUAGUAAGGACAUAGUGGUAACAUUUUCUUAGUAAUUAAGCUCGAUGGAAAUAAAGGUACUUUUCAUGUAUGACGCCCAAAAAAAGUUUAAACAUCUUUUCCUUUUGCUGUACCAUGACCAUACCACAAUGUGAGCUGCAGACAGGGAAAAGUUCAGAUCCAAAAUCAUAUCUAAUAGAUAUGUUUGUACAUUAAGGAAAAGAAAAACAUUACUCGUAGCAUUCUGCAAAAACACAUUAAGAAAUGGAGCUUUUGGACCAGUGAAUUACACUAGUAUUCUCAAAAUACCACAUCUACAAUCUCACUGGUGAGAACCAGUGCAGGAUUAAGAAAUUAUCUAAGUCUAUAAGCUUUUCAUGAAUGAUGCCAGACUUAUUUUUUUAUUGCAAGAAUCAAUGCUAGCAGGCUGUUUUGUAGAGUUACUCAGCGGAAGAUGCCGCAACCAAUAGAAAUUGGCAGUAGAUUUCAUCUAUGCCUGCUGCUCCAUCCUGCAGUAAUUAUUUAGAACAACAAAUAAGAUGAUUGUCAGAUUAGAGAAGGCACACUUCUUGCAUAAAAAAGAGAAGGCCACACUAAAGAAGCACGUUCCUAGUAUGUAUCUAUAAACAUAGAGAUGCUACUGAUAAAUAUAACUGAACUAUUUCCCACAGCAAAAGGAAAACAUGCAUGUGGCUAGAAAGAAUAAGCAUGUAGCUAGAAAGAAAGGAAGCAAACAUCAAGCAGCAGAACAUAGUUACAGCAAAGCAGGAGAUCAAGAUGCAGCAACAAAGGAGAUCCUAGAACCAGCUAAAUAAACGGAGAUGAAGUAGUCAAAGCACACGCAUGACGUGGAUCGGUGCACAGAGGUAAAAGAAUAGUCAUCCACAUACAAGCAAAAGAACAGUCCAUUUACCCGACCUGGAAAGGAGAAGUAGGCUAGAAAAGGAGGAAAGACGGACGAUAAGGCAAGGAUGAACAACAAGCAAAAUGAACUGAACGCAAAACAAGGUUAACAAAUAUGCAUUUCAUCAAACAUCUUGCAGAAAAGAAAAUGGAGCGUGGUGUCACCUCAAUUAAUCGCCGAAGGCAGAACGGCGCGACAGUGGACGCAGGAGAGGAUGGCAAGAUAAUCAAC
Molecule: long non-coding RNA, 2788 nt
Filed under: Triticum aestivum (bread wheat)
Lineage: Eukaryota; Viridiplantae; Streptophyta; Magnoliopsida; Poales; Poaceae
Description: long non-coding RNA (TAES_LNC021040)
Source: RNAcentral